UUUGGAAAUGCUCAGGACCGGAAGCGAUUCCAAAUGCAAAACAUUAAAACGGUAACGGCCAAACGGUGUUUUAAACGUUGUGAGCGCCCUACUCUCUGAUGACAGCGGUAUCUGCCAGAAACCUGAGCGGGCAUCCAGCUUUGUGAAGACUUACCCUGAGAGACUACCAACGAGCUGAAAUAGAUGUGCCUGUACCAGUUGAGGAUGAGUUGGUUGUGCCUGUAUCAGUGUCAGCAGUUGUGGAUGAGUUGGUUGUGCCUGUAUCGGCGUCAGCAGUUGUGGAUGAGUUGGUUGUGUCUGUAUCGGCGUCAGCAGUUGUGGAUGAGUUGGUUGUGCCUGUAUCGGCGUCAGCAGUUGAGGAUGAGUUGGUUGUGCCUGUAUCGGCGUCAGCAGUUGUGGAUGAAUUGGUUGUGCCUGUAUCGGCGUCAGUAGUUGUGGAUGAGUUGGUUGUGCCUGUAUCGGCGUCAGCAGUUGUGGAUGAAUUGGUUGUGCCUGUAUCGGCGUCAGUAGUUGUGGAUGAGUUGGUUGUGCCUGUAUCGGCGUCAGCAGUUGAGGAUGAGUUGGUUGUGCCUGUAUCGGCGUCAGCAGUUGUGGAUGAGUUGGUUGUGUCUGUAUCGGCGUCAGUAGUUGUGGAUGAGUUGGUUGUGCCUGUAUCGGCGUCAGCAGUUGAGGAUGAGUUGGUUGUGCCUGUAUCGGCGUCAGCAGUUGAGGAUGAGUUGGUUGUGCCUGUAUCGGCGUCAGCAGUUGUGGAUGAAUUGGUUGUGCCUGUAUCGGCGUCAGUAGUUGUGGAUGAGUUGGUUGUGCCUGUAUCGGCGUCAGCAGUUGAGGAUGAGUUGGUUGUGCCUGUAUCGGCGUCAGCAGUUGUGGAUGAAUUGGUUGUGCCUGUAUCGGCGUCAGUAGUUGUGGAUGAGUUGGUUGUGCCUGUAUCGGCGUCAGCAGUUGAGGAUGAGUUGGUUGUGCCUGUAUCGGCGUCAGCAGUUGAGGAUGAGUUGGUUGUGCCUGUAUCGGCGUCAGCAGUUGAGGAUGAGUUGGUUGCAGAUUCAUCACCACCAUCAACAACGCUGAAGAACCGUGGAACACAGUGUAAAUGGAACCUACACCGCUCAAAAGUCCCCCAUCAGCUGCAUUGUGAGCAGAAGGGGAGUGCAAAUAUGAAGCAGGAGGACCCAGAGCCCAUACCGUUUAGAGAGGAACAGGUCUCUGAAACCUCAGUGUUCUUAUUCACGCCUUCCAGCGUGAAAAGUGAAUCUGAUAAUGAUCAAGACCCAUCUUAGGCUUCACAUCUUUACCAAACCCAAAGUGAAGAAAACCGAGAGAGUGACUGUCUACCCAACAACACAAGUGCAGAAAUCAAAACAGAAGUUGAUGGAGAGGACAUCAGAGUAUAGGAACCAACCGGUGACUCUCAGCCCCUCUGCAGCAAACCCAAAAUGUUCUGCAGUAAAGAGUGAAAACGGGGAUUGUGUUGAUGGGGAGGCAAGUGGAGGAUUUAUCUCAAAACUAAAGCCACUCGAAUCAAUUCGGGCUAAGAAAGAACAAAGCUUCUAAAUGUCUACCAAUGGCAGGAAAACCAGUGAGCUGAAAGUGCCAUUAGGAUCUAACACACGGGAGAGACCCUACGUGCUAUGUUUGCCAAAAAGGCUUUUGGACAGCAUACACUUUACAAGCAAAUGGAAUUAUUCACACAGAGGAGAAAUCGUUUCAAUGCGAAGACUGUGGGAAAUGUUUCAGCAGUAAGGGAAAACUGAAGAAACAUGUUAAGAUUCACACUGGGGAGGUGAGAUACAAAUCAGAGAGAAAAUAUACCUGUCCCGUAUGAAGAAAAGGCAUAAGCACAGCAUUCGGGUUUAAAAAUACAUCAGAGAAUUCACACAAGGGAGAAAUCAUUUCAGUGCCUGUUGUGUGGAAAUGUUACCCAUCAGCAAAUUAUCUUUAAAAAAAACACCAGCGCACUCGACAUUUCGGUGCAAUGAUUGCGGCAAGCACUACUGCUGCAAAAGCGCCCUGAACAUGCAUUUAAGGAUACACACGGGACAAAAAUGUUAUUGCGCAGAAUGUGGCAAAUAAAGUGCAUUCAAAAAGUAUUCAGACCCUUUGACUUUAUCCACAUUUUGUUACGUUUCAGCCUUAUACUAAAAAUGUAUUGGUUUUUUUCUUCAUCAUUCUACACACAAUAACCCAUAAUGACAAAGCAAUAUUUUUUUUUUUUUUUUGCACAUUUAUAAAAAAUAAAAAUAAAAUAAUAAUAAAUAUAUAAAAAUCACUUUUACAGAAGUAUUCAGGCCCUUUACUCAGUACAUUGUUGAAGCACCUUUGGCAACGAUUACAGCCUUGAUUCUUCUUUGGUAUGACAUGUCAAGCUUGGCACACCUGUAUUUGGGGAGUUUCUCCCAUUCUUCUCUGCAGAUCCUCACAAGCUCUUUCACGUUGGAUGGGGAGUGUCGCUACUCUCUCUACUUUGCUUGGUUCAUCUUCCCUCGAUCCUGACCAGUCCCUGCCACUGAAAAACAUCCCCACAGCAUGACACUGCCUUCACCAUGCUUCACCGUCGGGAUGGUGCCAGGUUUCCUCCAGAUGUGAUGCUUGGCAUUCAGGCCAAAGCUUUCAAUCUUGGUUUCAUCAGACCAGAAAAUCUGUCAGAUUGACCAUCAGGUUCUUGGUCACCUCCCUGACCAAUGCCCUUUUCCACAAUAACUCACUUUGGCCGGGUGGACAGUUCUAGGAAGAGUCUUGGUGGUUCCAAACUUCUUCCAUUUAGGAAUUAUGAAAGCCACUGUGUUCUUGGAGACUUUCAGUGCUGCAGACAUUUUUUUGGUACCAAUCCCCAGAUCUGUACCUCGAAACAAUCCUGUCUCGGAGCUCUACGCACAUUACCUUCGACCUCAUGGCUUGGUUUUUGCUCUGACAUGCACUGUCAACUGUGGGACCUUAUAUAGACAGGUCUGUCACUUUCCAAAUAAUGUCCAAUCAAUUGAAUUUACCACAGGUGGACUCCAAUCAAGAUGUAGAAACAUCUCAAGAAUGAUCAAUGGAAACAGGAUGCACCUGAGCUUAAUUUCGGGUCUCAUAGCAAAGGGUCUGAAAACUUAUGUAAAUAAGGUAUUUCUGUUUUUAUAAAUGUGCAAACAUUUAUAAACUUGUAUUUCACUUUGUCAUUAUGGAGUUUUAUGUGUAGAAUAUUGAGUAUUUCUUUUUAUUAAAUAUAUUUUAGAAUAAGGAGUAACGUAACAAAAUGUAGAAGAAGUCAAGGGGUCUGAAUACUUUCUGAAUGCACUGUACUUUGGUAGGAAGGCAAGGCUCACAGAUCCUUUGACAAUUCACACAGGGUAGAAAUCACACGCGCACAAUAUGUGGCCCAUGCUUUAAUGUAAAGUCAGCACUUAGAAAUCAUGUGAGGGUGCACACAGGAGAAAUCACAUAAAUGCACUUGGUGUGAAAAAUUAUUUAAAACAGCACCUGCUCUAAAACAACACUGACAAACCACACUUGUGCCUUUUGUGUGAAAAACACUUUAGAAUGACCAGUGAUCUUAAAUGCCACCAGCGGCGAAGUCAUUGAGAGAAACAAUUUCCAUGCCCUGGAUGUGGAAAGUGCUCAUGACGUUGACUAAACUUUAGCGGUCAUCAGCUAAUUCACACUGGAGAAGAACUGUGGCAAAUGCUUUAGUCAACAGGAGCACCUGGCAGGGCAAAGACUCAUACAGUAAAUAAAAAUACUAUUUAAAGAUCCUGUGCAAUAGAAAUCUUAAUAAUAUAACAACAAAUCAUUGCCUCAGUUUUAUUGGUCUAUAACAACAUUAAUGGUAUUACUUUACAAUGUGUCCCUAUGACCCAUGUAUUUAGAUGGUAGUUACAGUUGCGGUCAAAUAUAUUGGCACCUUUGCAUUAUUCACUUUCUUCUAAAAUAAAUUGAAAUUUAAAGAACGUUUGGCGUUCACACGUGUAUUUGCUUGAUUGACAACUUCACAGGACCAAGAAAAAUGUAUUGGGUUGGCAGAAAGUGAUUCUUGUUAACUGUGUAACUUAUCUAACCUGUGGUAAGUUGCAGAUGGCUACAGGGUAAAAAUAGCCAUUCAAUCAGUUCUAUUACACUUGGUUUGAUUUACAACUCUGCACAUGCAAAUGAAGCAAAUAUUUCCUUAACUUACCUCAUUUGCACUCACUGUAUAUAGACUUUUUGUUUUCUUUUGUUCUACUGUAUUAUUGACUAUGUUUUGUUUAUUCCAUGUGUAACUCUGUGUUGUUGUAUGUGUUGAAUUGCUAUGCUUUAUCUUGGCCAGGUCGCAGUUGCAAAUGAGAACUUGUUCUCAACUAGCCUACCUGGUUAAAUAAAGGUGAAAUAAAUUAAAUAAAAAUAUAUCACACGGUACUCAAUGA
This is a long non-coding RNA of Oncorhynchus tshawytscha (Chinook salmon), 4376 nucleotides long. The record is from Ensembl. NCBI's taxonomy places the organism in Eukaryota, Metazoa, Chordata, Actinopteri, Salmoniformes, Salmonidae.